Molecule: ribosomal RNA, 135 nt
Filed under: Triticum aestivum (bread wheat)
Lineage: Eukaryota; Viridiplantae; Streptophyta; Magnoliopsida; Poales; Poaceae
Description: partial small subunit ribosomal RNA
Source: RNAcentral
CAAAUUGCUUCCACGCUAAGAACCAAAGAUUGUGUGGGUUGUAAGAGAUGUGAAUCUGCCUGCCCGACAUAUUUUUUAAGUGUCCGUGUUUAUUUAGGGUUUGAAACAACACAUAGCAUGGCUCUAUAUUAUUGA